AUUGAACGCUGGCGGCAUGCUUUACACAUGCAAGUCGAACGGUAACAGGCCGCAAGGUGCUGACGAGUGGCGAACGGGUGAGUAAUGCAUCGGAACGUGCCCAGUCGUGGGGGAUAACUACUCGAAAGAGUAGCUAAUACCGCAUACGAUCUAUGGAUGAAAGCGGGGGACCGUAAGGCCUCGCGCGAUUGGAGCGGCCGAUGUCAGAUUAGGUAGUUGGUGGGGUAAAGGCUCACCAAGCCAACGAUCUGUAGCUGGUCUGAGAGGACGACCAGCCACACUGGGACUGAGACACGGCCCAGACUCCUGCGGGAGGCAGCAGUGGGGAAUUUUGGACAAUGGGCGCAAGCCUGAUCCAGCAAUGCCGCGUGCAGGAAGAAGGCCUUCGGGUUGUAAACUGCUUUUGUACGGAACGAAACGGCUCUGGUUAAUACCCGGGGCUAAUGACGGUACCGUAAGAAUAAGCACCGGCUAACUACGU
Molecule: ribosomal RNA, 481 nt
Filed under: uncultured bacterium
Lineage: Bacteria
Description: partial 16S ribosomal RNA
Rfam family: Bacterial small subunit ribosomal RNA
Source: RNAcentral